RNAcentral lists this ribosomal RNA (253 nucleotides) under uncultured bacterium. RNAcentral's name for it is "partial 16S ribosomal RNA". It matches the Rfam family "Bacterial small subunit ribosomal RNA", at positions 524 to 776 of the family's 1533-position model. The record is from RNAcentral.
UACGGAGGGUGCAAGCGUUAUCCGGAUUCACUGGGCUUAAAGGGUGCGUAGGUGGGUAGGUAAGUCAGUGGUGAAAUCUCCAAGCUUAACUUGGAAACUGCCAUUGAUACUAUUUAUCUUGAAUUUUCUGGAGGUGAGCGGAAUAUGUCAUGUAGCGGUGAAAUGCUUAGAUAUGACAUAGAACACCAAUUGCGAAGGCAGCUUACUGCCCGAAUAUUGACACUGAGGCACGAAAGCGUGGGGAUCAAACAGG